AACACUGUUAACCUGCGGUACCUGCGGAAGGAUCAUUGCAGAAAACACACAAGCCCUUGGGCUGGGUCUGGGGGUGCUACUGAUGCUGAUGUAGCGUUCUCUUUCCCUUUCCUUGGGCAAAAAACACAAACAACAUACAUGACUAGGAAGCUGGGUUGGGUUUGGGUUGUGAUUUGUCGAGGGGUAUCUAAGCAAAAGUAUUUGCCUGAUAAGCAGUAGCCUAUGAUUUGGGUUUGGAGA
This 240-nucleotide unclassified non-coding RNA is filed under the name soil metagenome. Its description in RNAcentral is "partial contains 5.8S ribosomal RNA, internal transcribed spacer 2, and large subunit ribosomal RNA". The record is from RNAcentral.